GAUGAAGAACGUAGCGAAAUGCGAUAAGUAAUGUGAAUUGCAGAAUUCAGUGAAUCAUCGAAUCUUUGAACGCACAUUGCGCCCGCCAGUAUUCUGGCGGGCAUGCCUGUCUGAGCGUCAUUUCAACCCUCAUGCCCCUAGGGCGUGGUGUUGGGGAUCGGCCAAAGCCCGCGAGGGACGGCCGGCCCCUAAAUCUAGUGGCGGACCCGUCGUGGCCUCCUCUGCGAAGUAGUGAUAUUCCGCAUCGGAGAGCGAUGAGCCCCUGCCGUUAAACCCCCAACUUUCCAAGGUUGACCUCAGAUCAGGUAGGAAUACCCGCUGAACUUAAGCACAUCAAUAAGCGGAGGA
Molecule: unclassified non-coding RNA, 348 nt
Filed under: soil metagenome
Description: partial contains 5.8S ribosomal RNA, internal transcribed spacer 2, and large subunit ribosomal RNA
Rfam family: 5.8S ribosomal RNA (bases 1-120)
Source: RNAcentral